AUGUUUAUAAUACAGUCAGGAAAAAGCCAGAACCGGGGCUUUUCUGUGUUGUACCCCAAACAAAGCAGUGGCUCCAAUCAACUGGGCCACUUCCCUUUUUCCAGCAGAGCUAAGAGCGGGCCCCCAGCUGGUCCUGAGAUCAGCACAAACCCCCAGGACCUCACACUCACUAACCCAGGGCCUCCACGAGCCACACUGUCCUCAGCCCAGGCUCUCAGAAAUGGGGUCACAGCAAACGCCCGCGGCAGCCCCGCAGGAACCGCCUGCCCUCCGUCCCUCCCAGACACCACGAGCCAGGCCCUGCCUGUCCCCGCAGGGCCCAGCUGGCUGGCAAACAAACAGAUUUGGGCUGCCAACUGGUCACUGCCAGCUUAUGAAACUGCCCCACUUCACGUAGGAAUGGCUCCGUCCACCUCACGGGGUCACAGAAUGGCCGAGGUGGGAAGGGGUCUGGGGAUCACCUGGGCCAGCCCCCUGCCCAGCAGGGUCACCCCGAGCACACUGCACAGGAUGGCAGCCAGGCAGGGUUCGGAUAUCUCCAGAGGAGACUCCACAACCUCUCUGGGCAGCCUGUCCCAGGGCUGUCACCUCACAGCACGGAGGUGCCCCUCAUACCGAGCCAGAACCUCCUGGGCUUCCGUCUGUGCCCGCUGCCUCUCGUCCCGUCACUGGGCACAGCCGCAGAGCCCAGCUCCAUCCUGCCGACACCUCCCCUCAGCCAUUUAUCCCCACGGACGGGUCUCCCCUCAGCCUCUCCUCCGGGCUGAGCAGCCCCAGCUCUCUCGGCCUGUCCCAGGGGUGCCCCAAGCCCCAGUCCCCUCAGCUCCCUCCUCAGGACUCGCUCCGUGUCCCUCAUGUUCCGGGGAGCCCAGCACUGGGCACAGCGCCCCAGGUGGACAUGGAGGUGCUCAAGAGAGUCCAGAGAAGGGCAACAAAGCUGGUGAGGGGUCUGGAGAACAAGUCCUACAAGGAGUGACUGAGGGAGCUGGGGGUGUUCAGCCUGGAGAAGAGGCUCAGGGGCGACCUUAUUGCUCUUUACAGCUACCUUAA
RNAcentral lists this long non-coding RNA (1050 nucleotides) under Cairina moschata (Muscovy duck). Its description in RNAcentral is "domestica (muscovy Duck (domestic type)) lncRNA (ENSCMMG00000004676.1)". The record is from RNAcentral. Lineage: Eukaryota; Metazoa; Chordata; Aves; Anseriformes; Anatidae.